RNAcentral lists this ribosomal RNA (377 nucleotides) under Pinnularia viridis. Its description in RNAcentral is "bacterial SSU rRNA". It matches the Rfam family "Eukaryotic small subunit ribosomal RNA", at positions 582 to 968 of the family's 1831-position model. Lineage: Eukaryota; Bacillariophyta; Bacillariophyceae; Sellaphorales; Pinnulariaceae. The record is from RNAcentral.
AUUCCAGCUCCAAUAGCGUAUAUUAAAGUUGUUGCAGUUAAAAAGCUCGUAGUUGAAUCUGUGGUUGUUCCUGGGGUCCAAAAUGAUUUGGUAUCAAAGGAGUCACCAUCAUUGUGUCAAACCUGCGAGGCAUUAGGUUGUUUUGUGGGAGAUGCACAUCUUUUACUGUGAAAAAAUUAGAGUGUUCAAAGCAGGCUUAUGCCAUUGAAUAGAUUAGCAUGGAAUAAUGAGAUAGAACUUGGGUGCUAUUUUGUUGGUUUGUGCAUCAGAGUAAUGAUUAAUAGGGACAGUUGGGGGUAUUCGUAUUCCAUUGUCAGAGGUGAAAUUCUUGGAUUUUUGGAAGACGAACUACUGCGAAAGCAUUUACCAAGGAUGUU